GCGUGAACCACCGCACCUGGCCUAAUGUCCUAAAUUCUUCAGUGAAGUCCAGGAAGAGUGCUUCCAAAUCUAGUCUUCACAAGUGGGAGUUCAUCUCUUCAUUCUCCCAACUGUCUUGUUAGCAGAUGUUGAAUCAAAUUUCAUCAAGCACACACAUACACACACACACACACACACACACACCACACACACACACACACGCCUCUAUCCUAAUGACAGACACUAAUUCUCAGAGGCAGUGAAGUUUAAACUAGUGGUCAUUCCAGUUUUAUAGCUCACAAGUCAGAAACAUAAACAAACUAGUGGUCAUAAAGGAUAAUGUCUCCAGGGGCCAGACAGGUGACAACAAUCAGUGAAGGGAGCCUGUACUACUGGAAGCUCUGAUGAGCCCAAGGAUGCAGGCCCUACUGAAUAGGACAAUUUCUGCUCAUGUUAGCUGACUGUUUUCAGGUUGGAAUGAAGACUAGAUUGCCUGGAUUUUAAGACAAUCCAGAAAUCUGGAAUUUAAGUGCAAUUUCCCAAUUAAAGAAGUUUGUGAGUAAAAAUAUCUGUGAGUCAUAGCAGGACAUUAAGCCACCAGUUUUUAAGCCCUUGUCUAACCCAUAAUAAGGAAGAGAAAUAUGUUCUCAUUUGGUAAUACCUCCUCUCUCAUAAUGAAAUCUCUGUAAUAUUAUGCAGGCCUGUACCGUGCCUUUCCUUCAUCUCGCCAACUCUUUUCAAAUGGUCCUCUUCAUGCCUGCCUGGCAAAAGAAAGUGGCCUGUAGCUGAGCAGUAUGGUUUGGCAUGGUAGCACCUUUAGCCUUUACUUGUCACAAUGACUCACGGGUUUUUGUUUUAUUCAAUUAUCUUAUGAUACGUAGCCACCGUUGCUCUUGUUGAUGCUCAGGUCUUUCAGAUCUGGCCAGGGAUGCCCCUUGAAGCUGGAUCCGGUGUUCUCCACUGUUUUUGUUUGUUUGUUUUUAGCACCUCCAUGUUUUCUGAUACAAGAUGUUCAGCCUUGCCUUGUAAUUUUUCUGUCAAAUACCUGGAAUCAGCCACUUCUCUAAGAAGUUCAGGUUUUUAAAAUUAGAGAAUGGCAUUUAGAACUCAUGGUGUGGUGGCUGCGAUCAUUUGUACUAUAAUAUCAUUGCUUCUAUGCUCUUUCAGGGAACAGAUUUAUAGCUAUCAUCUCUCUAUCUAUCUUUCUGGAGCAAGAGGGAGGUCUUACUAGUAAUCUUUAAUUUAAUACAGCAAUGUGGUGUUCUUCCUUUGUUCUCAUUCCAUAUGUUUUCUCCCUUCUCUCUUAGUGAAUGAGAAUUAUUAUUCCCCCAAACAAUAUAUUUGCUUUAACAUUCCUUAGUCACAAAUAGUGCUGGAAUUACUACAUCAAUACCACGACCAUCAACACAUCUACAAAGCAAAGCACAAGAUUAUAUUCCAUUAAAAUUAUAUUCCACUAAAUUAUUAAAGUUCAAUUUGAUAUACAGUUAGGUCUUUUUUCUGUUGAUGUUGACGUUUAAGAUAUCUUUCCAUCCUUGCUGAUUAACUUUAUUUUCCAUGUGCAUUCUGUAGAGUUCCCCCUCUGAACUUCCUUGCACUCAACUUCCCUUCAUCUCACUCCCUCCUCAACCCCUCUUUCUUUUUCUGCCAGACUGAGUCCUUUAAACUUCUGAGCUUCCUUCUACCUCUCCCUUUCUUUGUUCGCUGUCCUUAUUGCAUUUCCCCAUAGGAGCCUAGUUCUGUUCUAGGGACUAGAUCUGUAUCAUGGAGUGAGCCAUGCCUCCAGCUCUCAUUUCAUGUGGAAGAGAUGCAGGGCCACAGCCAUCACAGCAGACUGGGGGGCACUCUGUAACAGGGAAGCACAGGACUGCUGGGAGAACAGAGGGGACACUUCUCACCCCAUGGUUGGGGAGGGGGGGGCUUGCACUCCUUAGCUGGCUCUCACGCUAUAGGAAGAAGAGAUAUUUCCUUGAGUUUUUCCUUUCAUGAAGCACCAUUAAUAAUACUGUCGCCAUAGAGUCGCUGAGAGGAUUAAAUGAGAUAGUACACGUUAAUUGCUUAGCACAGUGCCUGGCACAGGAAAGGAGUGUUGCACAGGUUGGGUAUUACUAUGUUAUUAGUUCUUCGAAUAAGCUUUCUACCCCUUGCUCUUGCUCAGCUCCCACUGUUUUGGUUUUUUUUUUUUUUUUUUUUUUUUUGAGACAGGGUCUCACUCUGUCAUGCAUGCUGGAGUGCAGUGGCAUGAUCACGGCUCACUGCAACCUUCAUCUCUCAGGCUCAAGCGGUCUUCUAGCCUCAGCCUCCUGAGUAGCUGGGACUACAGGUGCACAUCAUUGUGCCCAGCUAAUAUUUUUUUAAUUUUUAGUAGAGACGAGGUCUCACUAUGUUGUCCAGGCUGGUCUCGAACUCCUGGCCUCAAGCAGUCCUCCCACCUCUGCCUCCCAAAGUGCUGGGAUUGCAGGCAUGAGCCACAUGCUCGGCCUCAGCUCCCUCUUGAACACCAACAAUUCCUAGAUUUGGUCUUUUGAAUUACUUUUGUAGAUCUUAGAUUUGGUGUUUUGAGUUACUUUUGUAGAUCUUGUUGGCGGUCUUCAUUCCUUUCAGUUAUUUUUUUCCUUUUUUUCCCUCUGGCUGUAUUUUCAAAUAGCCAGUCUUCAAGCUCACUGAUACUUUCCUCUGUUUGGUUCCCUCUGCUGUUGAGAGUCUAUCGAGUUCAUCAGCAAAUGAACUUCAGCGAUUCAGCAAAUGAACUUCUCAGUUUCAAGAUUUGCUUGAUUUUUAAAAUUACUUUAAUAUUUUGUUAACUUUGAUAAGUUUCUGAAAUGCGCUUGUGUGCUAUCUCGGAGAUCACUGAGUUUCCUUAAAACUGCUAUUUUGAAUUCUUGGUCAGGGAGCUCACCAAUCGCCAUGUCGUUAGGCCCAGUCACUGGAUUUUUGCUUUGUCCUUUUGCGUAGGUCAUGGUCUCCUGCUUGCUGGUGUUUUUGUGGGUAUACGCCUGUGUCUUUGCAAUGAAGGAUUAUUUAUUCCAGUUUUCUCUGUCUGGCUUGUUUGGGUUUCUGUGGGACAUCCUUGCCUAGCGAAGCUUCGCGGCCAGGUCGCUUCCUCUUUUUUGGCUCUAGGUGGCGCCCUAAGCCCAGGUUCGCCUCGUCUCCAAUAAAAGGUGGGAGCACGGCCUGUCCCAAACAGGGGAGGUUUCAAAAGGGUUAUCCUGGCAGUGUGGGAAGGCUGGCUAGGGGUUUGCGCACAGGGCAUCAGAGGAACGUACCUUCUACAGCAUGGUGCUGCGGAACAGCCGCUCCAAUGCGGCGUCUCCUUUGGCCGAGUUACAGGGCAGAGUUUCCGGGCUGGGGUUGGCCCUCGCCUCCCUUUGUCUCCGACUGUGCUCAGGGAUGCCGCUCCCUUCAGUCACAGCCACACCUACUGCGGAGGGGCACACCUUUCAGGCCUAGCCCUCGGCCUGGAUGAAGGUGUGGCUGAGCAUCCCUGUUCCUGGAACUUGGCAUCAGCAUCACUGACAUCGGAAGCACAUGGACCCCCUCCCACUUCAACAAGCAUCAAACCCAUCUCUUCUCCUUGCUCUGGCCAGGUCAGACUGGAGCCAACUGUGCUGCAGCUCCUGUGGAAGCCUUGGCAGGGAGGUGAGGGGGAGCACCAGUUACAAGCAAAGGCUCCGAGUGCAAAGAGCCUUCGCUUAUGAUUCAGGAAUCUCUGGGCAAGUUACCUAAGGUAUCUGAGCCAGCAGUUCGUCAUCUGUGGAAUGGGGAGAAUGGCAACACUUCUCAUAGGGUUGAAGUAGGGAAUAAAAUGAUAUAAUGUGUAUUAAACCCUUAGAAAAGGGGCUGGCCUGGCAUAUAGUAAGCGCUUAAUAAAUGUCAUCUGUUGUCAUCAUCAUCUAACUUAAAAGAGUUUAGCGACAGUGUUCUUGAAUCUGCCCUUGUUUACAUACUACGGGUCACUUGUUUGGGAGUGGGAGAGGGAAUAAAAACUACUUUUAUUUAUAACUGUAAAUUGUGUGUAUGUAUUUUAUAUUUCAUAUAGGAAGUAAGUCAGGAAUAUGGGGCCUCUCUGAGCUAGGGCCAAGAUGUGGUGCAGCUGGGCAUACAAUCCAGCUGCCCCUCAGGAUGCUUUGCAGAGUCUACCCAGAUGCGCCAGGCUGCAGAAGCACCAUCAUCUGGUGUCCAUCUGCACAGCCAUAACUAGGGAAGAGGCAGAGCU
This 4195-nucleotide long non-coding RNA is filed under the name Homo sapiens (human). RNAcentral describes it as "HSALNT0172870". The record is from RNAcentral. Lineage: Eukaryota; Metazoa; Chordata; Mammalia; Primates; Hominidae.